AUUGAACGCUGGCGGAAUGCUUUACACAUGCAAGUCGAACGAUGAACCUUAGCUUGCUAGGGGGAUUAGUGGCGAACGGGUGAGUAAUAUAUCGGAACGUACCUUGUAAUGGGGGAUAACUAGUCGAAAGAUUAGCUAAUACCGCAUACGCCCUGAGGGGGAAAGUAGGGGAUCUUCGGACCUUACGUUAUAAGAGCGGCCGAUAUCUGAUUAGCUAGUUGGUGGGGUAAUGGCCUACCAAGGCGACGAUCAGUAGCUGGUCUGAGAGGACGACCAGCCACACUGGAACUGAGACACGGUCCAGACUCCUACGGGAGGCAGCAGUGGGGAAUUUUGGACAAUGGGCGCAAGCCUGAUCCAGCCAUUCCGCGUGAGUGAAGAAGGCCU
RNAcentral lists this ribosomal RNA (387 nucleotides) under uncultured bacterium. RNAcentral describes it as "bacterial SSU rRNA". It matches the Rfam family "Bacterial small subunit ribosomal RNA", at positions 30 to 417 of the family's 1533-position model. The record is from RNAcentral.